Molecule: long non-coding RNA, 4883 nt
Filed under: Gossypium barbadense (sea-island cotton)
Lineage: Eukaryota; Viridiplantae; Streptophyta; Magnoliopsida; Malvales; Malvaceae
Description: long non-coding RNA (GBAR_LNC016904)
Source: RNAcentral
UAAUAAAACAAAAGUGAAAGAAAACCAUUUUAUUAUUUUAUCAUCUUCCCCAUUUCUCCUUCCACCGAAAUUGAAAUGGAAAGAAACACCAUAGCUAAAGCUUGGUUCAGCCAUUGAUAUUUUCUUGCAUGGUAAGUCAUUUUUCACCCAUUUCUCAUAAUUUUUAUAUUUUUAAGAUCAUUACAACUAGGUCCAACUAAUCCGUAUCUUCAUUUUCGAAACUGUUAAAGUUUAAUAAAAUCACUAUUGAUAAUUUUGGAUGUUCUUGAUAUUGAAUGGAAGAUUUUGAAGCUUGGAAAUGUUUUAGGAUUAUUUUGUUAAGUGUUUUUGGUUAGUUUUAAGUUUAAGGACUAAAUUGAUAAAAUAAUAAGUUUAGCAUGAAAUUAUUGUGAAAUUUCAACAAUUAUGGGCUGUAUAUGUAUAAUUAAAAAUUUGGCUAGUUUGGUUUUGGGUUUAAUUGUGAUAAUUGUAAAAGUUUCGGGUUUAGGACUAAAUUGAACAAAAGGUAAAGUUUAGGGUAAAAGUGUAAAAUGUUGAUAAAUGAUUAUAUAUGUGAAUUUAAGUGUUUUAAAGUAUUUUAAUUGAUUAAUUGAAUGAAAAUAUUAUAUUUAGAUCAAGAGACAGAUUAGUUGGUUGAUAAUCGCGAGAAAGAAAAAAUCAUUAAGUAGUCGUCGUUGAAGUGUUCGUAGUUAUUGUAUUUAGGUAAGUUCAUAUGGUAUUUUAGUAAUGUUAUUAUUAAAAAUUUUGUAAUUUGAUGACAUUGGUUAUAUCUGAAAUAUUACGAUUGAAUUGGUGAGAAAAUAGAUUGAAAUGUAAACUGUUAUACGAUUACAUGUAUCGAGCCCAGAUGAACAUAGGAUACGAUACAAUUGGUAUGCUAAUAGGUUAUAUUGCGCGCUGUAUGGGAUUGACUUGUGAUGAAAUGAUGAUUCUUGACUUGUUAUUAUUCACUGAAUCUACCAGAGUCCAGCAUUUGUUGCAAACUAUCAUGUUAUAUUUACAAUGAUUCUGGCGUGUUACCGGGGGUGGGUGUUAGCCUACGAGCUUGGCACUUGGUGCCCAGGCAUGUUUUUGGUUGGUUUGGCUCAUUUGAGAUUUUUUGCAUGUCUUGGAUGGAUAACCACAUAUUCGUAUCUGUUUAUAUCAUUCAUCAGGCAGAUUUUCAAUGGUUAAAUGAUUUGCUAAUGAAUUAUAUAAAUGUUUACAUGAUUUCUGAUAUUAUUUUGUGACUUGGUAUUGAAUGAUCUUGUAUAAUUGGUUAUAUUAUGCAACUUGUGUAUAUAAAACUCACUUGUUGAAUGAUUGUGGUUGACAAGAUUAAUGUUUAUUAACAUUGUGUUAAAUGUAUAAAAUGAAACGGGUAUAUAAAACAGUUAUAUGGAAUGAGAGACUGAUAUGAAUUAUUUAAACGAAAUGUAAUUUAUAAAAUGAUUUUGAUUGUGGUUGACAGGAUUAAUGUUUAUUAACAUUGUGUUAAAUGUAUAAAAUGAAACGGGUAUAUAAAAUAGUUAUAUAGAAUAAGAGACUGAUAUGAAUUAUUUAAACAAAAUGUAAUUUACAAAAUGAUUUUGUGUUAAAUGUGUAAUAUGAAAUGGUUAUAUGAGACGAUUAUACGAAAUGGUUAUAUAAAAUGAAUAUAUGAAAUGAUUAUAUGAAUUGGUUAUAUGGAAAUAGAUAUACUAAAUGAUUAUAUGAAUUGGUUAUAUGGAAAUAAUUAUAAAGUGUUUAUACGAAAUGUUUAUAUAGAUAGAUAUGUAAAAAGGCACAUUUGAAAUUAAUACUUGAAAUGUAAAUGUGAAAUGUUAAAUGAAUAGAUGUUGAAUGAAAUGUAUACCUAAUGUGUUUACUUGUAUAUGUUUUAUAACAUGAUAAGGUUAUAAGUUUCAUAUAUGUGAACUCACUAACCUUGUGAGACUUGUGAUAUUUAUAGGUUAAUAACGAUCUUAUGACCUUGCUUAUGAAUUUAAUUGCAAAUUGUUUAAGUUGCAACCUUUAUGGUAAGUUAAAGCUUAAGUUUAAUACAAACUUACUAAGCAAAGAUUUGCUUACAUCCCUUGUGUUUGAUUUCUUAUAGAUCAUCGAAAGUUUAUGUCGAUUGGAAGUUCAAGUCGGAGCUCACACUAUACGUUCAACGACUCGGUAUAAAUCGUGAUUAUUUUGAUCUAGGUUAUAAGUGGCAUGUACUAGGAGUUUAAGUUCACUUGUUAUUAGACAUGUUGGUUCAUGCUUUAUUAUGUGAUGUUGUGGUUGUGUUUAUUUGGCUCUUUUGGUAUUUUGGCCAUAUGUAUAUAAGUGGUAUGAUUCAUGCAUUUGAAAGUUUGGUUUUGAUUGUGAUUUAAAGUUAUGAAAUGCUUGAUAGAUACAUGUUUUGUGAUUUGGGAAAUGAUGUAUGUGAAUUGGAUUUUAAAUGUUUGAAUUGUGGUACCAAUGACGGUACAUUGGUUAGGCAUUUAGGUUGAAUGUGAAUUGACAUAAUUUUGGCAUGUUUUGAUGUGUUUUGAAUAGGUAUAAUUGAAUGGAAAUAGUAUGGUUUGGAACCUAAGAUAUGGAUGUUGAAAUAACUUGGUUUUGAAGUCAUUUUAGGUACACACAGCCUAGGACACGAUCUGUGUAACAAGCCAUUUUUUAGUGGUGUCGAAAACAAUAGUUUUGGGACCACAAAUUUGAUGAAUGAGUUUGUAUAAUUAGUAUUUAAAUAAUAUGAGUCAAAAAUAUUUUUUAUAUUGAAUUCUGAUUUGAGGAAUUUUAACUAACUAAAUUAAAAGUUAGUAUAAGUGGUUCGAUUUAAAAGUCAAGUGAUAAUUGAAAACGAGGUAUUAGGCCUCGUUUCCAUAAUUUAAUGCCGUAAAUAUUUUUAUUAAAUAUUUAUAGAGUCGUAUUAUAUGUGAAUUGAAGUAUGGUCUGGUAAUGUUGAUGAUUUAUUGUUCAAUUAUCGUAAAAAGGAUUAAAUUGUAAAAGAGGUAAAAAUUAAUUACUUUUGAUUUAAAAAUAGUAAAGGGACCAAAAUGGUAAUUAAACCAUGAUCAAAAGUCCAAGCGGUGGUGACAUGAUUAAAUCCACUAACUUUUGGGCUAUUUGCUCAUUUAGUCCUAAUUAGUUUAGGAUUAACUUGAAAUUAAGCUUGUUUAGUUAAAUUUUAAAAUAAUUGAAGGACCAAUUGUGCAAUGAAACCCUCCUUAAAUGGCCAAACGGUAGAAAUGGUUUGAAAUUUUCUAGUUUUGUAGUUAAUUGCUAUUAGAUCCUUAUUGAUUAGUAAUUAAAAAAAGGACUAAGUCAUAAAAAUUGUAAAAGUCAAUCACUAUUAGUUUAAAAGGUUUAAUAGGGGGACUAAAAAUGGUAUUUAACCCAUAAUUAAAUAUGAUGAGCGGUGGAAUUUGUUUUUAGUGUAAAAAUAUGUUAAUUUUAUAUUUUAAAGAAUAAAUAAAUUAAGUUAAAAGGAGAAAAAGAAAAGAAAUACAAAUGAUUACUUAGGUUCUUCUUCCCCAAACCGAAACCACCAUUUUUGAGACAUGGGAGGUUCGACCAAGUUUAGGCCUGUCGAUUUGGUGUAAAUUCCGUCCGUUUUUAGUACUUUUUAUAUUUUUGAGCUCGUAUUAGUUUAAUCUAGUUACUUGAGGACUAAUUUGUAAUACUUUCAAAUGUUUUGGAUUAUAUCAUUGAUGAUUUUAGUAUAUUAUUGAAGUUUUAUGAUAGAUUAUUAAGCUUAGUUGUUAAAUAGGACUAUUUUGUAAAGUAAUUUUUGUUAAUUUUAAUAUACAUGACUAAAAUGUGAAAGUGAUAAAAUUGCAAAGACUUGUUGUGAAAUAAUAGCAAGUAGGGGCUGUAGGGAGGUAUUGAAUAAUUCGGCUGAAAUUAAUUGUGGUUAAAAAUGGUUAAAUUGCAAGUUUUGAGCUUAAAGAUUAAAUUGCAUAAAAAUAAAAUAUUGGGGGUAAUUUCGUAAAAAAAUUUAAAAGAACUUAAUUGCCUAAAUGAGUUGGUUUUGAUGUUGGAAUUAGUGAAUCGAAUGAAAUUAUUAUUUUAGAUCAAGAACGAGUGGAAAACUAAGGAAAAGAGAAAAUUACCGAAUAGUCUCUGUACAUUUGUCAUUGUUGUAAUUUAGUCAAGUAAGUUCGUACGUUAUUUAUACUUCUAAUGAUUCUUAUAUUAUAUGAUAAUAUAUUUUUUAAAAUGUUAUAUUGUAUAAUAGUAUGCCCUUAAAAAUGAAAAAUGGAAUAUUGAUUAUACUGAAUGCUUGCUCAAACGAGCAUUAUGCACUAAUUAUACUAAAUGCUUGCUUAAACGAGUAUUAUCCACUAAUUAUACUGAAUGCUUGCUCAAACAAGCAUUAUCCACUGAUUAUACUGAAUGCUUGCUCAAACGAGUAAUAUUCACUGAUUAUACUAAAUGCUUGCUCAAACGAGCAUUAUCCACUGGUUAUACUAAAUAAGAUUUUCUAUACCGAUGAUUGGACACGAGCACUGAAAUAAUGUUCCGAAUAUUAUUCAUCUGAUGGAAGUUGUGAUUGUUAGGAAUUUCAUUGUCUAAAUAAAAAGUCUAAUUUAUCAUGUUUAAGUGGGUAAAAUUUUAUUGAUUAUUCACAUGAACUUACUAAAGCUUUGUGUAAGCUUACCAAUAUUUGGUUCAUUUUUGUAGAUUACGUUUUUGUGGACUCAGAAGAUCAGAUCAACACAAGAAAUCACACUAUCCGGGAAUCUUUGGUAGACUUUGAUUUUGGUUUGAUAUAUAUGACAUGUAAUAGGACCCUUUUGGAUAUGUUGUAUUAGUACUUAGUUUUGUGAAAGUUUACACUUUAUCUUGUGUUGUUAUGUUUGAUUAACUGUGGAAAUAUGCAUGCUUUGUUUAAGUUGAAUUAUGGUAUGAAAUGAAAAGUUCCGACUUGUAAG